GCGAUUUGGGCAGCAUAUAUACUAAAAUUGGAAUGGUACACAGAAGAUCAGAGUGGCCCCUGCACAAGGAUGACAUGCAAAUUUGUGAAGGAAGCAUGAGUGAU
This is a non-coding RNA of Canis lupus familiaris (dog), 104 nucleotides long. The record is from Rfam. NCBI's taxonomy places the organism in Eukaryota, Metazoa, Chordata, Mammalia, Carnivora, Canidae.